UGCCCCCUUGUGGUCGGUGUACAGGUGGUGCAUGGMUGUCGUCAGCUCGUGUCGUGAGAUGUUGGGUUAAGUCCCGCAACSAGCGCAACCCUUGUUCUGKGUUGCCAGCAUGCCUUUCGGGGUGAUGGGGACUCACAGGAGACUGCCGGGGUCAACUCGGAGGAAGGUGGGGACGACGUCAAGUCAUCAUGCCCCUUAUGUCUUGGGCUGCACACGUGCUACAAUGGCCGGUACAAUGAGCUGCGAUACCGCGAGGUGGAGCGAAUCUCAAAAAGCCGGUCUCAGUUCRGAUUGGGGUCUGCAACUCSACCCCAUGAAGUUGGAGUUGCUAGYAAUCGCAGAUCAGCAUUGCUGCGGUGAAUACSUUCCCGGGUCUUGUACACACCAA
This 388-nucleotide ribosomal RNA is filed under the name Streptomyces mobaraensis. Its description in RNAcentral is "bacterial SSU rRNA". It matches the Rfam family "Bacterial small subunit ribosomal RNA", at positions 1013 to 1393 of the family's 1533-position model. The record is from RNAcentral. Lineage: Bacteria; Bacillati; Actinomycetota; Actinomycetes; Kitasatosporales; Streptomycetaceae.